AAAAUGCGAAAUGUCGUGUGACAUGCAUUCCUCGUGAAUCAUCAAAUCUUUGAACGCACCUUGCACCUUUUGACUUUGUCAUCAGGUAUACUUGUUUGAGUAUCGUAACAUGACUCUCUUCGUCGAGUGUGUGUUCUUCUCUCGAGAAGACGGCGCGCACGAUGAAGAGGACUUGAGAGUCUGGCUGGGUUGUUGACCCUUUUCGCCAGUCUCUUUAAAUGAAUGCCUUGUUAAGGUCUCUAGUCUCGGUUGGACACGCAAGUGUCUGACGGUCUAAUGGGAUAACAUCCUAACAUUUGACUACUAGACAUGCCUUUGCUAAUACUGGCUCCUGAACCACAGUCGACUGGGCUUACCUGAUCGUAAGCUUGCUUCUGUGAAGUCACUCUAAUUACCGAUC
This 400-nucleotide unclassified non-coding RNA is filed under the name uncultured fungus. RNAcentral describes it as "sequence contains ITS1". The stretch from base 1 to 105 matches the Rfam family "5.8S ribosomal RNA", at positions 50 to 154 of the family's 154-position model. Lineage: Eukaryota; Fungi. The record is from RNAcentral.